UUGCAGGUGAGCCUGAAUUUUUAUCUUCGUCGAACAAUGAGACAAAGGUUAGGAUUAAAUUGUCUAAUUCAAUUCUCGUACGUCUUAAACAUUAAAAAAUUGUGUAACAUAUAAUUAUCGAUAGUUAAAUAUUCCAAUAAACCCAUCGAAUCUUUCCUCUCAGCGCAAUUCGCUGAAAAGAAAAGAAAUUACAGCGAAAUUGUCGAGACAGUGACAAAUGAAGUGAAGUUAGCAUCGUGAUCUGACUGGCUGAUAAGUCAGAAUGACUAGUAAUUGCGUUCUUCAAUUUAACGAGCGUUUACUACUUGGAUAAAAAUCACACGCGUGUUGUUACAGGUUACAUAGACGUGUUUAAGUUGUUAAUCAUGUUUCAUUAAACAUUUAGCAUACUAAUCGGCACAAUUGGCGAUACAUGGAAAGAAAAGUCGUUUAAUAAAAUUCAGGUUAAUCUCUUCUCGCUCAAUCUGGCUUGUUCGAGAUUUAUUGACUUUUGUUUAUGUUAACGCACUCGUUCAUGCCAUCGAGUCAGAAACCCGAAAUCAUUUUCCCCCGGUCAUCCAUGAAAAAAAUUAAUGCAGCAAAUAAUUCGCUGCCUUUUGUCCUUGCUUUUCUCGAGCCUUUCUGCCAUUCGAUGCCUGCUGUGAGGCAUAGAUAAUGGAACCUUCCACACCAAAGUAAGAAGGAAGAAACAUUUUAUGGAUCGUCGUUUACCGUUGCACACCAGGGGACCAGUCGAUCAGAAAUGCGCAUCCACAACAAUAACCGUUGUUCUAUUUUUCAACUUUUUAGCUAAUAAUAUAUUCUAGUAAUUGAGACUCAACCUGAUAGAAGUAAUAUGAGAAAGGGCAAUCUAUAGUCUUUCUCAAAAGUCUGAAGAUACUUUUGAUGCUUGAAAUUAGUAAAACAUCAGUAUUCGAUGUAAAUGUAGGUUAUGAUAUUAAAGUUGCUUGCAUUUUUCAGUAAAAUUAUUAAUACAUUAUAUAGUAACUAAUUCUUUUUUGCCACAUGUCAAUCAUAUUUUUUCAUCUUUUAAUUGCCACUUCACAUUUUCCAGCCUUGAAUUAGAUAUAAUAACCGUUUUGCGACAUUUGAGCGAGAGCAUACCUACAUCUUCAUUUAUAACGAAAUUGAAAUUUAUCGAUUCUACGAAAAUAAUCUUUGUAAACUAUUCUUAAUCAGAAUAUCUUUGUCAACAAAGUACUCGUUCGCCACCGUGGCGAAUAUGACGAACCAAAUUUCAAAGACGCGAAAUAUGCAAUUGUUGGGCUAUUUCCAUUGGACCCAGCGCAAAAAUGAAUAGGGGACUCCCGAGAGACGAAUCUUGAAAGAAGGGAGAGUAGAGGAUUUCAGAUGCCAAGUAGUUUUCCAAUGGAUACAGGUUAUGUGCGUAAGACAAUGGUCUUCUAGUCUUGUUCAUUAAUAGACAAUCGUCUACCGGUUUUUACAAAUAGAAAGUAAAAAUAGGUAUAUUGCAAAUAGGUUUAAAUUUGACUGAAAAGUUUUGGAUAUAUCUUGAGUACCUCGAUAGAAAAACUGAACACAUAUCUUUAAGUAUGAGUUUCGAAAAUAGAUGUAAAUGCCGAUACUUUCAAGUACAAUCGAAUGUUGACUAAGUGAAUUCGGUAAAUUCGGAUUUACUUGUACUCUAACUCUUUAGUUCUCCUAAAGUUAAACUCUGUUCUGGAUUAAUAAAUAUCUGGUUUAAUAUUUAA
Molecule: long non-coding RNA, 1712 nt
Organism: Bombus impatiens (common eastern bumble bee)
Lineage: Eukaryota; Metazoa; Arthropoda; Insecta; Hymenoptera; Apidae
Exons: 2
Source: RefSeq, a predicted model, not a curated record